UCAGUGCUGUUGUGUGCAUGCACAUGUAGUAGUGUGUGUACACACUUGUGUUACAUGCAUGUGGUCAAGUAUGGGUGCAAGGGGUCGGGGGGGGGCAGUAGGAAGACUUUUUAGUGCUGCUGGUUGCCUCCAAAGGGAGGCACUGGAGUAUAACAAGAUCAGAUAGGAGUGUGGGCCAAGAGCUAAGAAUAGGGUUGGGUACAGGUUUCAGGCGCAGGUUCCUGGCUCAGGUGCCAGGCAGGAAGUCACUGGCUAGAGACAGAGAACAGAACUGGACUGGGGCAGUGGAGCCCAGGUUUCUGGGGAAUGGGGCAGAGCCCAGCUCAGGUCAUAAACCAAGCUGAGAGGAGGCAUCUUGGGGAGAGGCGAGGGUUAGGACCCAGGGUACUACAAGCCAAGACCAGGAGGUGAGCACCGUGCUUAGAGGAAGCCCCAUCUCACCUCCAUGGCCUUCUUGGUGUCCGGGACCCUGCAGGUGGCUGCACAGCUGGCGGAUGCUCAAGACAGCCUGGGGAGAAAGGUAAGAGGUUCCAUUUGGUCCAGCCCGCUCCUGACACCCAGAUGUGUCCUCUGCCCAGCUCAGCUCUGACCUUACCUCCCCAGGGGAAGUACAGUAUGCAUGGGUCAUGGGUGGCCCUGACACUCAGCAGCCCUAGGGUGUCUGCCACUACUGUUGCUGCCCUGGACCAUGUGUUCCAAGCCCUGGGCUUUGAAAAUCAUAAGAAGAAUGAGGUCUCGGUCCAGGGCAUCGUUGAGGAGCUGAUUCAGUUCCAAGAUCAGCUGGAUGCCCAGGGGGGCCCUGUGAGCUGUGCCCUUGCAGCCUUGGUGGCCCCCAGUAGACAGCUGAGGCAGCCGCUGCCACUGGUCCAGGAGCUAAGUCGUUGUGAGGCCUUGCAGGGCUGCCCCAAAGUUUUCCUGCUGCUCUCUAGUGAUCCUGGGGGAAACAGAGAUGCUGGGGUGGAGCCACCAGCUCUCCCCUGGUACUGGCACUGGUUCUGCGCACCUCGAGCCACCCCUUCCCAGGCAGCUGUCCUCCAGAUCCAUGUGCAUACCCGAGGCUCUGUAGCCUAUUGGGACGAGAAGGGGUCAGACUUUGUCCAGAUGCUGGUGGAAGUCGUCAGAGCCAACCCUGGGGGAGACCUUCUGGAGCUGCUGACAGAGGUGUGAGUGGUGGGUGAUCAGCAGAGAAGGCUGGCUGGGGCCUUCUCCCAGCCCUGGUGUUCUGAUCACCUCAGGUCAAUCCUUUGGUCAACAGGCGGGUGUGUGAGCUGGAAGUGCUGGGCCCUGACAGCGAGAAGCGAUGCUCCCCGAAAGGCCUUCCUGGAGAUACGCAGCUCACUCCGGCGCCAGCUUUGCCUGCAGGCCUGACCGCCCUGCUUCAUCCACAGCAUCCAGCUUCCUCUGCAGCAUCCAGCUUCCUCUGCAGCAUCCAGCUUCCUCUGCAGCAUCCAGCUUCCUCUGGGCUACCAGUCUCCGCGCUUUGGACGCGGACGCCUAGAUGAUGCACAAUAAACAUCUGUUGAUGGUCGCUGCUUUGGGACAGUAGUUGGUCUUGGAGAUCUGUAAAUAAGUGAGAUGAUGGAUGUAAAGUACUUGGCACAACUGUGCCCCUGGGAACUGUGCCCCUUGUCUGGGUCUAAGAAAUACAAUGAGCUGGGCUGAGCUGGACUUGGGAGUGGCUCAGGGCCCACAUUCCCCUCGCAGCCUUGUCCCCAGUCUCCACCUGGUGCUGGGCCUCUGCCUUCCCGGCAGGUCCAGCCCAGACGGUCAGAAAGAGACCAUCACAGAUUCACCAGUGCCGCGAUGGGACAAACUCAGGGCCGGGGGAGCGGUGGGCAGUCCUGACACAGGCAGCGGGCAAGUAGGGGAGGAGAUGGGAAAGGUAGGGGCGACUAGGUUCACCGGACGCCGAGCGGUCCUUGAAGACUGCGCAGAACUUCCGGACUCAGAGCCCUGAGGGGCGGGAUUUCAGUCUGAACCAGCCUGCUGGGGCGUACUGCGCAGGCGCUCAAACAAGCUUUAUGGAGAAAGCUGUAAGCCAAACCAAUGUGGGGCCGCGUGGCCUAAUGGAUAAGGCGUCUGAUUCCGGAUCAGAAGAUUGGGGGUUCGAGUCCCUUCGUGGUCGCUGCGGAGUGGUUUUUUUCUUGUUGUUGUUGUUUUUUUUUUCUU
Heterocephalus glaber (naked mole-rat) is the source of this 2169-nucleotide non-coding RNA. The record is from RefSeq and is a predicted model, not a curated record. Lineage: Eukaryota; Metazoa; Chordata; Mammalia; Rodentia; Bathyergidae.